UAAACUUUAACUAAUUCUCCAUCACUUAGACAUCUUGCCCUUUCCCUUGCUAGUAGAUGGAUCAUCACCUCUUUCAACUUUAGUUGCAUUGUUUAGUUGCAAGAGUGAGCAAAAAAUUGCUCACUGCCAUAAAGAUAGUAUAAUAACAACAUGAGAGUGACCAACGAAUAAUUAAUAAUAAAGAACUUGCUCUACGAAUCAAAAUAGAAAACAAGUUUGAAGUUUAAU
RNAcentral lists this long non-coding RNA (228 nucleotides) under Panax ginseng (ginseng). Its description in RNAcentral is "long non-coding RNA (PGIN_LNC014221)". Lineage: Eukaryota; Viridiplantae; Streptophyta; Magnoliopsida; Apiales; Araliaceae. The record is from RNAcentral.